UACGUAGGGUGCAAGCGUUGUCCGGAAUUAUUGGGCGUAAAGAGCUCGUAGGCGGUUUGUUGCGACGGCUGUGAAAUCCCGAGGCUCAACCUCGGGUCUGCAGUCGAUACGAGCAAACUAGAGUGUUGCAGGGGAGACUGGAAUUCCUGGUGUAGCGGUGAAAUGCGCAGAUAUCAGGAGGAACACCGGUGGCGAAGGCGGGUCUCUGGGCAACAACUGACGCUGAGGAGCGAAAGCGUGGGGAGCGAACAGG
This 253-nucleotide ribosomal RNA is filed under the name uncultured bacterium. RNAcentral's name for it is "partial 16S ribosomal RNA". It matches the Rfam family "Bacterial small subunit ribosomal RNA", at positions 524 to 776 of the family's 1533-position model. The record is from RNAcentral.